Trichoplusia ni (cabbage looper) is the source of this 733-nucleotide long non-coding RNA. RefSeq lists it as uncharacterized. The record is from RefSeq and is a predicted model, not a curated record. NCBI's taxonomy places the organism in Eukaryota, Metazoa, Arthropoda, Insecta, Lepidoptera, Noctuidae. The transcript has 2 exons.
GGCGGCGCGCGGCGGCUUCGGCAGUGCGCGACGUUGACUCACGCGCCCGCUGUCUGCCCGUUGUUUGGCAGUGGCGGCGCGAGCGAGGCGCGCGCCCUCGCCCCGACCUUGCCUCGACACGGAUUUAUUGAUGCGUCACCGCGAGACGCGACGCGACUUACGUGCCGAGUUACGUGCGAGUUUGUACAGCGGAACCGAUUCAAAUGCUAUUAUUACGACGUUGACAAUGGACGCCGCAAUUUGUGAGAUAAUUCAUAUAAUGACAGACGACGAUUGUCUUGUUUAAAUUGACGUGACCCAGUACGGGAUGUUGUCAUACAUACAAUUAUUUUAUAAUACAGUUUCAUAAAAAGAUUUCUGAAAUAAAUUAUGGUGUGACAGGUUUAUGGACAGCUACAAAUGACUUUAUAGUCUAGAAACAACGAUGUUAUUUAUUAAUUCAAUGCAAUAUGCUAAUAAGCAAUUAUUAAGUCAGAUGCAGGUUAUUAUUAUUUAUAUCUAUUAACUGUCAUAGAAGUUGACAUUAAAAUAACGAAUUUAAAACAAAACCACAACAUUAAAAUAUUUUGGAGGUUUUUAAUUCGUAUGUAAACACUUAUCACAUGAGUUGAAGAGGUAUGUUAGUAAUAUGUAUAACUAACCUAAUGGUAACAUAUUUUUCUGGUAGGACGUAAGUGCCCUGAAAAUGUCAUUUUUAGAACUAAAUUAAAAUUAAGAAUGACUAUGUCAAGUA